AUGAUUGAGAGCUACCAAGAUGUGUCCUGGCUCCAACCUGUGGCACCAGAAGUCAACCAGGAAGAGCAAACUUUACCAGCAUGCAGAGGAGACACCAGGAAGGCUUCCCUUGAUCUCCCAAGAUCUCUUAAAGAUUCAUGUCUGGAGGGGCAGCUAGGUGAUGCAGUGGAUGGAGCACCAGCCUGGAAGUCAGGAGGGCCUGAGUUCAAAUCCAGCCUCAGACCAAACACUUGACAUCUACUAGCUGUGUGACCUUGGGCAAGUCACUUAACUGUGAUUGCCUCACCCUCCCUCCCAAAAAAAAGAUUCCUGUCUGGGUGCCUGCAUUAUACUACUUUGGUUCUUGAAAUUUGUUCAUUCUUCCAGAAGCAAUUAUCAUGAUGGAAGCCAUUCAUUUACUAGUAGGAUCAGCUUAGAAUAGAAUCAGAUGAAGAGAUUGAAGAGAACCUGAAAAUUCUCUUGGAAAUAAGCCACAGGAUUGGGGCAGGCCCAAGAGGAAAGAGCAGGAGUGCCAGAGAUGAGCUUUGCUGACUUCAUAGCUUUGCCUAAGGCUGAUCUUGGAACCCAGGCAACAGAUAUUUUACUGGAACCCAAUCUGGGCAUGCACAAACAGUUUAGUCCUGCCUGGGAGGCAGGAGACCUGGGUUCUUAUCCCAGCUCCCUUAACCUACUGUCUAAUCUUUGAACCCUCACCCUCAAUGGGCCUCAUUAUCCUAUAAGACGAGGUAUCUAAGCUCUCUUCCAGUUCUAAUGUUCAUAGGAACAUGGGUUUAACUGGGCAUACCUUUUGACCCAGCAAUACCACUACUAGGUCUGUAUCCCAAAGAAAUCAUAAAAAAGGGAAAAGGGCACAUUUAUACAAAAAUGUUUAUAUCAGCUCUUUUUUGUGGUAGCAAAGUAUUAGCAAUUAAGGGGAUACCUAUCCAUUAAGGAAUGGCUGAACAAGUUGUGGUAUGUGGUUGUAAUGGAAUACUAUUGUAUUCAUACUGUUGUACGAUCAGAGAGAUUUCAGAAAAGCUUGGAAAGCCUUACAUGAACUAAUGCAAAGUGAAGUGAGCAGAAACAGGAGAACACUGUGCCCAGUAACAGCAACAUUGUGUGAGAAUCAACCAUGGUAGACUUAGCUCUUCUCAGCAAUACGAUGAUCCAGGACAAUUCACAAGGACUUAUGAUGAAAAGUGCUAUCUAUUGAUAAUCGUUUGAGAUCAGUUGAGCCCCAAUAAGGGCCAAAAACCUGAAUUAAUCUUUUUCUCUCUGAGUGAACUAAAAACACUCCUUCCUGUGUCAGCAAAUUUCAGGACCAAAUGGAGCUCACCAACGUUCUUCCUGUUCGUCAUCACUGAGCCCAGGAUGUCUGGGACCAAACAUUCUCUUGAUUAAUGAGACUUUUCCUUGUUUUGUAUCCUAUAGACAUAUGUUAUGUAGAGGAAACACAUAUCCCGGACCUAUAAUUUUGAUUGAUACUUUGACAUUCUUCUAUUGUAUUUACAAUCUAUGCAAUUAGGUAACUUCCUUUUUUUAUGUUGUAUGGAGGCUAUACCUUUUUUUUGGUAACACAGACAUCCUGAGUCUGAUCAUUCUAAACUGUAUAAAACCCCUUUCAUUUUGCUUAAUCUUGGAGUCAGAAUCACAUUCUGGCUUCCAUGUUAACAUGAUUUGCUAUCUAAAAGGGAAUAAACUAUAUCAUCAUGUAUCA
This is a long non-coding RNA of Phascolarctos cinereus (koala), 1696 nucleotides long. Lineage: Eukaryota; Metazoa; Chordata; Mammalia; Diprotodontia; Phascolarctidae. The record is from Ensembl.